CGCAUCGCGGGGCGAAGCCUGACCGCAAUGCCGCGUGCAGGAAGAAGGCCUUCGGGUUGUAAACUGCUUUUGUACGGAACGAAACGGUCUGCCCUAAUACAGCGGGCUAAUGACGGUACCGUAAGAAUAAGCACCGGCUAACUACGUGCCAGCAGCCGCGGUAAUACGUAGGGUGCGAGCGUUAAUCGGAAUUACUGGGCGUAAAGCGUGCGCAGGCGGUUAUGUAAGACAGUUGUGAAAUCCCCGGGCUCAACCUGGGAAUUGCAUCUGUGACUGCAUAGCUAGAGUACGGUAGAGGGGGAUGGAAUUCCGCGUGUAGCAGUGAGGUGCGGAGAUAUGCGGAGGAACACCGAUGGCGAAGGCAAUCCCCUGGACCUGUACUGACGCUCAUGCACGAAA
This 399-nucleotide ribosomal RNA is filed under the name uncultured bacterium. Its description in RNAcentral is "bacterial SSU rRNA". It matches the Rfam family "Bacterial small subunit ribosomal RNA", at positions 358 to 758 of the family's 1533-position model. The record is from RNAcentral.